CGUCUUAGGUGGUCCAUUCGGAAAGUCCAAUUUUGGGCAACUUUUUCGAGCAUUUCGGCCGGAAUAGCCCGAAUUUCUUCGGAAAUGUUGUCUUCCAAAGCUGGAAUAGUUGCUGGCUUAUUUCUGUAGACUUUAGACUUGACGUAGCCCCACAAAAAAUAGUCUAAAGGCGUUAAAUCGCAUGAUCUUGGUGGCCAACUUACGGGUCCAUUUCUUGAGAUGAAUUGUUGUCCGAAGUUUUCCCUCAAAAUGGCCAUAGAAUCGCGAGCUGUGUGGCAUGUAGCGCCAUCUUGUUGAAACCACAUGUCAACCAAGUUCAGUUCUUCCAUUUUUGGCAACAAAAAGUUUGUUAGCAUCGAACGAUAGCGAUCGCCAUUCACCGUAACGUUGCGUCCAACAGCAUCUUUGAAAAAAUACGGUCCAAUGAUUCCACCAGCGUACAAACCACACCAAACAGUGCAUUUUUCGGGAUGCAUGGGCAGUUCUUGAACGGCUUCUGGUUGCUCUUCACCCCAAAUGCGGCAAUUUUGCUUAUUUACGUAGCCAUUCAACCAGAAAUGAGCCUCAUCGCUGAACAAAAUUUGUCGAACAAACACAGUUCGAACCGAACACUGAUUUUGGUAAUAAAAUUCAAUGAUUUGCAAGCGUUGCUCGUUAGUAAUUCUAUUCAUGAUGAAAUGUCAAAGCAUACUGAGCAUCUUUCUCUUUGACACCAUGUCUGAAAUCCCACGUGAUCUGUCAAAUACUAAUGCAUGAAAAUCCUAACCUCAAAAAAAUCACCCGUUACAACGUAUUGCUGAAAAUACUUUGUGAAAAGAUCACCAGUUUAGACUUGGAGAAAUUGAGCAUACGACCUGAAAAGUACCGUGAUUAAAUUCGAAACACUUGGACUUAGAAUGGCAUCACAUGAUGCAUUAAGGCAUAAAUACUGACAACCUAAUCCUAUUAAUUGCUGUGAAGUCAUCGUAAACUAGUCCUACAACGCAUCUGUAAUUCAGCAAGGCACUAAGGCACUCAUUUCCGCUACGACGGUAUAUCUUACAAAAUUAGUUAUUAAUAUUAGCAAAUGAAAAUUAUAUUAAAAAUUUAAAAUGUAUUCAAUAAAAAAUAACUUAUAUUAGAAAAAUUAUUACGAGUUCGAUCCGCCAAUCUUGUAAUUAAAAAUGUAAUUAACAUGCCCAAAAUUUAUAAUUACUUGAUUUAUUUUGAAGUGUAAACACUUCAACGUGGGCAGUAUGUUCAGAUUUCUGAACAGUUCCUAACGGCUACAAUUGUAAAGAAGAUAUUUUUGUAAAGAUACAAUUGUCAUAGUUCAAAUAUUUAUGUUCAUUAUCGCCAGCGUAUACGAAUCUAGUCUUAAACGUAGAUAUCUAUUUACAAAUACCCAUUUCUAUCAACAAUGCAAUAAAUGUUCAUUUCGGGUAUAUUGAUUAGUGACCUUAGUAUUUAAUGUAUGCAAUGUAAAGGAUCGUUUGCCCUUGAGACCGCAAAUGAUCCUAAACGAAUAAUAGCUAAAAAACAAUUCUGUCUGCCCUUGAGAUCGCAAAUGAUCCUAAACUAACAAUAGGCAAGAAACAAUUGUGUUUGCCGUUGAGAACACUUAUGUUUAAGAUAUGUGUACAUACUUCGGUAUGUACAGUAGAUUAGUGUUAAGAUGUGUGUAUGCACUCAGCAUGUGGUGCAUACAUGAAUUAGGAUAAGGAAUGCUAUAAAUAAAGGAGCUUUGGGCAACCAGAGCUGAGUACUAUUUUAAUAUCGAAUCAAACGCGUCUCAUUUAACAAUAUCUAUAUUCUAUUCAGACAGAAAUCUGAUUAUCUCUAAUUUAUGUUGGUUACACCGUUAGAAUUCCAUAUACAGAUAUUUACUUUAUAAACAACGUUUUUUGGUUUCUGUUCCGGUGUACAGAAAAGAUUGUUUUCCAACUCGUGAGCACGCCACGGCCGUGUGAAAAACGUAGCAUUUCCUCAUUUAUGCCGGAAUACGUUUGAACUGAAAUGGAAAAUCGUUAGAACUUAAAGGAAUUCUUAGAAUCAAGCAUUCUCCCCCUUGUAUUCGGCGCAUGAAGGUUGCAAAACAAAAUAACGACGGAUCCUACUUUGAGACGCAAAUGAUGCGGUGGCAUACCAAGCCUGUCCAAAGAAUUUAGAAAUACCACUGGAUAAUUCACGGCGUCGUCUUCAUUGUCAAGACGAUCGAACGAUUUGUAUGAGCGUAAGUCUCCCGGAAUUUGACUUUGAAUCUUCCAGUUUAAGUGAACAACAUCGGUAUUUUGGGCAGCUAACAUUGCGCGUGCACUUAAGGAAUCGUAGUUACGAUAAUUUAGCCAUUGUCCGAACAUUUGUGAUGAGUUCAUCUUUCGUUAAUUGAUAUCGAGCCACCGGAAGUAUCAACCGAAAUUGUACCAUUUCCAAUUUUUAGCGAAGACGAUGUAAAAUGUCUUUGGGAAUGUCGAUGUUUAUAUCGAAAAGUAUGCGAACUUCAUUUUCAUUCCAGUGAUUAACGUGUUCCAGCAAAUGUAAUUGCUGGCUUACUUCUCCAAUUCUUGCACACAUCGAACCAUUCACAGUAAGCAAUGACUCAAAUAUAGUUGAACUGCGUACAUUAAUCAAUAGCACCCGAAGGUAGAAACAAUCGUCGUUUUUCGGAUGGAUUGUGUAAAUUCGUCCUAAUGCAUUAGACACCUGGUUGUCAAUCUACUGGUUGGCCUUGCUUUCUGCGUAACUAUUUCUGCGACGAUGCAUUCUAUGUAUAAUAUCAAGGUAUUUCCGAAUAGAGCAAUGUUCUCACAAACGGAUCACUGACGAAAGUUGAGAAAAAGCUUGACAAUGUUAAUUUUAUUGCUGGCGAUGUUUCCACUGGCUAUACUGUAUUCUCUGGGUUGAAAUACACCUUUUGCCCAUUCUCCAAAUUAACUGCGAGACGCACAACAGUCGGAAAAUGUUCAUGAAUUGCAAAAGUAAAUAUCCUACAAAGCGCUUUAUUGCAGUUCACGUAUCGACCGUAUCGUUCAAGACCAAUAAUCGCCAUGUUGCUUCCUUUGGUGACGUACUUACAAACGUAUUUUAUCGAUUUCACCAAACUGCAAUACUAAACACUGAUAUGAGUUUUGAAUAUGAAUCAGACAAUAAUGGUGAAUAUAGUACGAUCCAUGUGUUGUCAACUUCGAUAUUCACUCUUCUAAGUUGAAUGCUGAAUGUUCUGUUAUCUGGUGAGCGACGCCGAUAGAGUUGAUAUCCAUCAUUUCCAGUUUAUGUUUCCAAAAGAAAAGCACGUGGAUACUGGGCCUCAUGCAUAAAAACGAGUAAAAGCGCUGAGUUGAGUCAAGUGAGCAAUUGCUCGUAAGUUGAGUUCGAUCAAACAGCAACAGCUCUUACUCAAUUUCGUAUGCAUAAAAAUGAGUUCAAACCAAUUACAAUUACUUGAGCAAACGGAGAUCAAACCUCUACGCGCAAACUUGUCGUCAAGUGGAAGUGAAUUUGAAGUAGAGCUAAAAAAUAAUAAUAAAAUGGAAAUUGACGAUAUUUCAAAUUUUUUGGUAGACAAAAUAAAAGAAAAUAAAUAUUUACUAGAAAAAAGUCAGUUACCAAGCAUAAAAAGGAAAAAAAAACAAGCAAUAGAAAUAUGUGUGAAAGAAAUUUGGCAAAAAUUUGGAAUGGAACUGUCGGAGAAAAACAUUAUAAAAAAAAUAGCAAACAUGAAAUGUCGGGUUAAAAGUAAAAUAGACAUAAAUAAAACAGGCAAUAAAAAGAUUAUUUUAAAAACCUGGGAAGCAGAAUUAUCCUCAUUGCUUUUUUCUGAUUCUAAUCCCUCAACAAACAAACUUCCUGUCCAUCUCUUUCUUGGAAGCAAUGGCGACAACUGUACGCUGUCUGUCAAUACAUUAGAAGAGACAUCAGCAACAACAACAUCAGAAACAAAAACAACAGUAACAUCAGCAGCAAAACAGCAAAGAAAGCUCCGUUGCACUGAUAGCGACGAUCAAACUGUUUACAAAAAGUCAACAGCAAUUUUGAGUCGUUAUGAGACUGAUGAGACAAGGGAGUUAAAUUUUCAAAAGCUGCAGAGGCUUGUUUUGUUAAAGCAAAACAAAGUUCUUUCCGCAAAAUUACAGAUUUUGCAAGAAAAACUUGUGGAAAGAGGGUUGGAGUUCCGUGAAUGAUUACAAUUAUUAAUAUAUAAUUAAUUAAUAUUAUAUUUUUGUAAAUAUGUACAUAUUUUAUUAUUAUUUUUAUUCGUUAAAUAGUGAAUUACAUUUAUUUUGUUUUUGUAUAAAAAAGUAAAUUUUAUUAAUGUUAAUUGUUUUUAUAAACCAAAAAAAAAAAACAUUCAUUUAUUUUAAUUUGAUAAUAAAUUUGCGAUCAUCCGCCUUUUGUUUUUUCCAGCUUCUGAAAGUCUUGUCGUUUGUUGUUCGAUAUAAUUUCCUAAUCGCCAUACAUCAUUAUUGUUGUAAUCGUCGUUGAUUGGAAUGUAAUCGUCUUUUAAAAAUUUAGCUAUGUUAUGUAAAAUGAAACAACUAGCUAUUACGUGAGGCGCCAGCUCUGUCGAUACACGAAUUUUGUAUUGAAGUAUCGAAAAUCUUUGCUUCAAUUGCCCAAAACACCGCUCUAUAAUGACACGUUCCUUUGUAAACACUUUGUUGAAUUUUUUUCUCAUUCAGUUGUUGGGUUCCGGAAUGGUGUCAUUAGCCAUGGACAUAUCCCAUAGCCCUCAUCCCCGAGAAGUAAUGCAUCGUUUGUUACACUUUGCAUUAUCCUACAUACCUCGCUGUUUCGUAGGAUGCGUGAAUCGUGAACUGAUCCAGGCCAGGAUAAGUCAACGCUAGUAAAUAGUUCUUUUGCAUCGCAAGUGGCCUGCACAUUUAUAGAGUGGAAGCCUUUUCUGCAAAUAUAUUCGUCGCUUUGACUUUUGGGUUUUUUUAUUUUUAUGUGAGUGCAAUCAAUAGCUCCAAUUGCAAAUGGAAAGAAAUAAUUUGCUUGCCAUUUCCUUUGAGCAUCUUUUAUUGCAUCUCCAUCUUUCGGGAAUUUUAUCCACUCGCUUGCUUUAGAAGAUAUAAGUUUCGCAACUUCCGCAAUAAUUCGCGACACAGUUGAUUGAUGGACACCAAUAUCUGUGGCUAUACCAUUUUGGAAUCCAGGAUCUGCACAAAAUCUUAAAUAUAGUCGAAUUUCAUCAAUGUUGCUGAGGGCACCACCACGUGCU
This is an RNA transcript of Bactrocera dorsalis (oriental fruit fly), 5200 nucleotides long. RefSeq lists it as uncharacterized. NCBI's taxonomy places the organism in Eukaryota, Metazoa, Arthropoda, Insecta, Diptera, Tephritidae. The transcript has 4 exons. The record is from RefSeq and is a predicted model, not a curated record.